Molecule: RNA transcript, 2533 nt
Organism: Coffea arabica (coffee)
Lineage: Eukaryota; Viridiplantae; Streptophyta; Magnoliopsida; Gentianales; Rubiaceae
Gene name: protein FLX-like 3
Source: RefSeq, a predicted model, not a curated record
UCGUGGCAGGAUUCGUCGCAACCUCGCCAUUUUCAGCUUAUAAGGUUUGGCUUAAAUUCUGUGAUCUCUGGAGUAUAAUUCACUGAAUAAAUCUCAGCAAAAUAGGCGCAUAACUAGGGUUCAUAAUCUGUACGCUUCCCGGAAAAGAUAUUUACUAAAUUAGAUUAUGCUGUGUCAGGGUUUCUUCAUCUGAGGCUUUAAGAAAAUCGUUAUAUUUGGAAGCUUAUUCGUUUAAUCUCUCAUUGUGUAACUCGAAAUCUCCCUCUCUCCUCCGCGAAAUAUUAAAAUUUUGAAGAAAUUUGCAGCUGAAGGUAUCUCUGUUGAGCUCACGAGAGUUUGGACAAACUUGUGUAACUUGACAUGGCUGGAAGAAACCGGAUGCCUCGCGAAGCAUUUGAUAACCGACGUGGAUAUCCUCCAGAAGGACCUGUUCUACAUGGUCCUUUACCACGGCCUAUACCUCCUCAUCCUGCUUUACUGGAGGAGGAGCUUGAAAUGCAGCAUGCCGAUAUUCGCAGGCUUUUAGAUGAAAAUCGAAGACUGGUUGAAGAUAGAGUUGCUUUGCAGCAGGAUCUGGGUGCUGCAAACGAAGAACUUCGUCGUAUGAAUCUUAUCUUAGCUGAUAUUCGUGCUGAACAGGAAGUCCAGUCGAGGGAACUUAUCGAAAGGGGAUUGAAGUUGGAAGCUGAUCUUCGUGCUACUGAGCCUCUGAAAAUCGAGGCUGGACAACUUCGUGCUGAAGUUCAGAGGCUGAACACCAUCAGGCAGGAUAUGUCUGGGCAAGUGCAGGCCCUUACAAAAGACCUUACAAGAUUGCAAGCUGAUAACCAGCAGAUUCCUCGUUUAAGGGCUGAGCUUGACGGACUACAUCAGGAACUUAUGCGCUCUAGAGCUGCUAUUGACUAUGAAAAGAAAGUAAAUAUUGAGCUGGUGGAGCAGAGACAAGCAAUGGAGAAGAAUUUGGUCAGUAUGGCUCGAGAAGUUGAAAAGCUGCGUGCAGAGCUUGCCAAUUCUGAUGGCCGAGGAUGGUCUGCAGGUGGACCAUAUGGGAUGAAAUUCAGCAGCCCUGAGGGUGGUUUUCCUGGACCUUACGGUGACGGAUAUGGAGCUCAUAUGGGUGCUGCCAACAAGGGUCCAUUCUAUGGCUCAAGUUCGGCUUCAUGGGCAGGAGUAGAGAAGCCACGUAUCAAUCGCCGUUGAGAUGUGGAUGUCUUGAGUGACUAUAGGCAUGUCUCAUCCCUUCCUGUUUGGUGGCUAUUAUCUUGGAAAGGACAAGCUGCUACUGGCUAUGUUCUUCUAACCCUGUGCAAAGGUAAAUUUACAGAAUCAGGUAAGUUUACUUGUGACAAACUUAAUUCCUGAAUCAACCUAACAAAAUGAUGGCAAUUACAAAAGCAGUAAGUAGUCAUUAACCAUUCUGAUAUCAAGGACUUUUGAAAUGACUGGCUCUCAAGCACAUACUUAGUGGAUUUUGUCAAGAUGUGAAAGCUGGCCCAGGGAAUGCCAUCUUAUUGGAUUUAAUUCAUUCCGUCUUGACUCGACUGUGCUUUACUUUGAUUAAGCAGUAAUGGAUGGUGAGAGCUGUAGCACUCUGCUGUUUAGUCCACUGAACCAUCUCUUCUUAUUCAAAAGUUAAACUCAGUAAAUCCCAAAUAUUUUUUUUUAUCCAUAAAGAAUAUUUGAGUGGAACUUCUUAAAAUAAGGAAUUUUAAGUUUAGCUUCUUAUGUUAUAUUUAAACUUGGUUGAUAGUUUUAAGGGUUAAUUGCAGUUUAGGUCUCAGAAUUCUGAAGUUGUAUUGAUUAAGCCUGCAACAGAUCAAUUCUUUGAUUUUCACCCUUUAAUUUCCAAAAAUUUGUUGGAAAUCAAAGGGUGAAACUGAGAUUGAUUUGUUAUUGCCCACUAGACACAACCGAAAUUCUUUGAAAACUAAGUGGAUUAAUGUGUGCAGUUGGUUUUCUAACUUGGAUUCCAAAAAAUACUUUUCUACAAAUUUCUAGAUAAAAUUCAGUGGUUUGAUAUUACGUUAAAUCUUGGUCAAAUAUAUUUAAAUUUGUUUUUAUGGCAAUGAUGGUCAUCGAUCCUUUGGUAGUAGUUCGAUCCAAAUAAGCAGUUCCUCUUGGGAUAUUCAUGAAUUUUCUAAGAUUGAUGGAAUAUGUUGCAAAAGUUUUGUUUGUUGCAGAGCCUGGUUUUGUUGCUGAUUUUCAAUAGCGAAUGAAACUAGUGUUUACGCUCAUCCAGGAGGUUUGAUUGAUGGUUUCAUAAUUCAUAUGUAUGUGCGUGUAAACCAAUGGGGCUAGGGGUAUCUUUUGUCAAAUGUGAAAGUAUUUCUAGUUCAAUCAAGAGCUCUAGAGUAGUUUGGUAACACCCUUUUAUUUUUUUUAGCCGUUUUGUUUGGUAAUACUUAUCAAGUACUCUCUGUUCCGCUGGUUUUCCAAAAUGGGGAAGAUAUGCUGUUUGGAUGGCUUUACUUCUGUAGCUCUGUACCUAUAUCGACAUUGGACCUAUGCAUCAAGGCUUUUUCGUAUUUCUCAA